RNAcentral lists this long non-coding RNA (459 nucleotides) under Mytilus galloprovincialis (Mediterranean mussel). Lineage: Eukaryota; Metazoa; Mollusca; Bivalvia; Mytilida; Mytilidae. The record is from RNAcentral.
UAUAUUUAUUUUGUUAACUUAGCUCACAUGCUGGUGGUUCCCAAAAAAGAAAAUAAAGAAAUUGCUUCUCUGAGCAUAGCUGGAUACGACUGCAAUACUACCCUUCUUUAGAAGUAGCCUAGUCCUAUAGAUCUGUCUGACUAGUCUACUCUUAUAGUUUAUCUAACCUAAUAAUGACUUCAUGGUUCAGCUAUUAAGCAAGCUAAUUAUAUAACCAAAGAUAUUACCUUUACCUACACAUUCAAUGCAACUGGCUGUAAUGUGAAUAAUGCAAGUGAAUGAAGAUCUCAUAAAUAACUUGCAUUCAGAUAUCUGAAACUUAUAUCCGCUGUAUGCAGAUUUUUUUUCUUAACAGGACUGUACAUACCACCACCUCACGGAAGCAAGGCAAUCAAUCACAAACUUAAUUCCUAUUUGUAAAUGGUAACAUACAUGUAGGUUAAAUAUAAAAUAAUACAC